UCCCAUAAACCGUGGCUCAGUUCAGAUCGUAGGCUGCAACUCGCCUACGUGAAGGCGGAAUCGCUAGUAAUCGCAGGUCAGCACACUGCGGUGAAUACGUUCCCGGGCCUUGUACACACCGCCCGUCACACCAUGGAAGUUGGCCACGCCCGAAGCCGUUACUCCAACCCUUGUGGAGGAGGACGUCGAAGGUGGGGCUGAUGACUGGGGUGAAGUCGUAACAAGGUAUCCGUACCGGAAGGUGCGGAUGGAUCACCUCCUAA
Molecule: ribosomal RNA, 263 nt
Filed under: uncultured Synechococcus sp.
Lineage: Bacteria; Bacillati; Cyanobacteriota; Cyanophyceae; Synechococcales; Synechococcaceae
Description: partial 16S ribosomal RNA
Rfam family: Bacterial small subunit ribosomal RNA
Source: RNAcentral